ACAGGUGGGUGUGCCUCUGGCUGCUUUUAACAUCCUCCCUUUGCUGUUCUGAAAACUUCACGUCAGAGUCAUAUUUAAAUGUGUAAUUACUGCUCUUUCUCCUGCUUAUAAUUCAUUAUACUUUUUGAAUUUGAGGCUUGUGUUUUUAUGAACCUUGAAAAGCCCUCUGCUGCCGGCCUCUGGAGCCACCGUCUCCCUGCCCUGCUCUCUCCUCUGCCGAGGUGCCUGUUAAGCUGCAUUCUCUCCUCCACAGCUCCCCGCUUCCUGCAGGCUUCCUGUCUCACUUUCUUUCUGUGCUCCAGAGUCUAGGCAAUCUCUUUUGUUAGAACUUCCAAUUCACCAAUACUUUCUUAUGUUGUGUCUAAUAAGCUACAUCAUCUGCUCACUGGGUUUUUUAUUUCAGUGAUUAUAGUUUUCAUUUCCAGAUAUUCCAUAUGCCUUAAAAACAUCUGCAUGAUACUCCAUGGUUUUAACUCCCCUGAUGAAUACUGUGCAUUUAACCAUCCCAGCACGUGAGGUCCCUGGGGCUGACCCCUGCUGACCCUCUCAGAACAGCUUUCUUCCUCAACGUCUUGUAAUUCCAACCAGGCUCUUCGUCUGUCUACACUCUGGGAGCCGGAAGGCCGGGAUGAGGAAGGCUUUUCUAGCAAGAGUCUUUUAGGAGACACAGGCCACGAUACUGUCAACAUAGGAAAAUGUGCAACUCCUGCGUCCCACCGUAAAACUCGAAGACGUCAAAAUACAUUCUUGAUUCUGCUCCACAAAGGGAUGUUUCCAUGGCGAUAUUUUCAAACAACAGAAAGUUCACGGCCGAUGGCGGUUACAGCUCAUGGAACUGAUGGGCAGGGCCGGGUGCAGCUUUGUAGCACGGCUGCUGCUCACAGAUUCUCUUCCAUUUGACUAAAAACCAUGCUGUCCACACCAAACAUCUGGCCUCAUCCGGAUGUUCAAAGCCAUGAAAUACAGCACUUCUGGCCAAGAAGUCUAAAUCACAGCCGAUCUACACGAGGCGGAUGGUCCACAACGCCAAGUUCCUACCCGGGCACUGAGCUCAACGCUCGCACAACUCCAAACGAGGGCGCAACCAUAUUCCCACUGACAUCCUCCUUGGGGCAGCAAGACAAGCUCCGAACAGCCUGUCCUGGGCCAACAAGAGAAGCUGGCGGGCGCCCGCUGAGCACUGUGAGCCAUCUUGUGGUGAGACUGGCUUCUCCUUCCAAUCUCCAGGUUUCUCUCUCUUUCUGCCUUCUUUCUGUCAGUUACCGUCAUUGAUCACUUAAAGAAAGACAGGGCCUACCCCUGUCUGCUGCGUGACCUCAGCCCUCCCGCCUGCCGAUGGGAGCUGGGUCAUCUCUUACGCCUUUCAGCUUUGGCUUCUUCCGCAGUGUAUGUGAAGGGGUCACACAGAGCAUCCAGCGGUCACCAUGGUGAACAAGAAGCCAGGAAGGAAGGAAGCAAUGUCGGCAAAAGGGCUCAGAUGACAACCAAACAGAACGGUUUCCCACCCUGGGCCUCCUUUCCACACACACAGCAUCGUGGGUAUUUUAAAAUAAACAAGAUCAACGUCCAAACCUGC
RNAcentral lists this long non-coding RNA (1576 nucleotides) under Homo sapiens (human). RNAcentral describes it as "non-protein coding lnc-ZNF778-1:5". Lineage: Eukaryota; Metazoa; Chordata; Mammalia; Primates; Hominidae. The record is from RNAcentral.